AUCCUGGCUUAGGAUAAACGCUGGCGGCGUGCUUAACACAUGCAAGUCGAACGGAGUGGUUCUCCCGAGGAUUGAUGGUGCUUGCACCUGAUUGACUCAUUUGAAUCACUUAGUGGCGGACGGGUGAGUAACGCGUGGGAAACCUGCCCUAUACUGGGGGAUAGCAGUUGGAAACGACUGAUAAUACCGCAUAAGCGCACAGGAUCGCAUGGUCUAGUGUAGAAAAACUCCGGGUGGUAUAGGAUGGUCCCGCGUCUGAUUAGCUAGUUGGUGAGGUAACGGCCCACCAAGGCGACGAUCAGUAGCCGGCCUGAGAGGGUGUACGGCCACAUUGGGACUGAGACACGGCCCAAACUCCUACGGGAGGCAGCAGUGGGGAAUAUUGGACAAUGGGGGAAACCCUGAUCCAGCCGACGCCGCGUGAACGAUGAAGUAUUUCGGUAUGUAAAGUUCUAUCAGCAGGGAAGAUAAUGACGGUACCUGACUAAGAAGCACCGGCUAAAUACGUGCCAGCAGCUGC
This 520-nucleotide ribosomal RNA is filed under the name uncultured bacterium. RNAcentral describes it as "bacterial SSU rRNA". It matches the Rfam family "Bacterial small subunit ribosomal RNA", at positions 16 to 518 of the family's 1533-position model. The record is from RNAcentral.